CCAGAGGCAAGGUAUGGUACUAUCAUAACCAAAGAAUUUUUUGCUCCAGAGGCAAGGUAUGGUACUGUUAUAACCAUAUUUUCAUUACUUGCAAGCAAUGGGUGGUAUGUAUUUGAGUUUGAUGUCAAGAGUACUUUUCUACAUGGUGCAGGAGCAAUGCACCUUUAUGAGCCUUUGGGCAUAAACCAUAAUAUAAGUUUCUUUAAAAACAAGCUCAUCAGAGAAUGUUAUACAUUACCCCCCCUUUAUUUUUUUCAAAAUAAUAAAGAGGCAUUGUGUUGA
Vicia faba (fava bean) is the source of this 282-nucleotide non-coding RNA. The record is from the annotation of a GenBank genome assembly. NCBI's taxonomy places the organism in Eukaryota, Viridiplantae, Streptophyta, Magnoliopsida, Fabales, Fabaceae.